UUAAGUUCAGCGGGUAUCCCUACCUGAUCCGAGGUCAAACUUAGAGAAAGUGAGGGUUGAUGGCCAGCGUCCAUCGAGUCCCUGUAGCGAGGAGAUGUACUACGCUCAGGGCCCGACGGCACCGCCACUGAUUUUAAGGCCCGCUGGGUGAGCAGCGGAGCCCAAGACCAAGCAAUGCUUGAGGGUUGUAAUGACGCUCG
Molecule: unclassified non-coding RNA, 200 nt
Filed under: Helotiales sp.
Lineage: Eukaryota; Fungi; Ascomycota; Leotiomycetes; Helotiales
Description: partial internal transcribed spacer 2
Source: RNAcentral